AAGGAGGUGAUCCAGCCGCACCUUCCGAUACGGCUACCUUGUUACGACUUCACCCCAAUCAUUUGUCCCACCUUCGACGGCUAGCUCCAUAAAUGGUUACUCCACCGGCUUCGGGUGUUACAAACUCUCGUGGUGUGACGGGCGGUGUGUACAAGACCCGGGAACGUAUUCACCGUAGCAUGCUGAUCUACGAUUACUAGCGAUUCCAGCUUCAUGUAGUCGAGUUGCAGACUACAAUCCGAACUGAGAACAACUUUAUGGGAUUUGCAUGACCUCGCGGUUUAGCUGCCCUUUGUAUUGUCCAUUGUAGCACGUGUGUAGCCCAAAUCAUAAGGGGCAUGAUGAUUUGACGUCAUCCCCACCUUCCUCCGGUUUGUCACCGGCAGUCAACUUAGAGUGCCCAACUGAAUGCUGGCAACUAAGUUUAAGGGUUGCGCUCGUUGCGGGACUUAACCCAACAUCUCACGACACGAGCUGACGACAACCAUGCACCACCUGUCACUUUGUCCCCCGAAGGGGAAGGCUCUAUCUCUAGAGUUGUCAAAGGAUGUCAAGAUUUGGUAAGGUUCUUCGCGUUGCUUCGAAUUAAACCACAUGCUCCACCGCUUGUGCGGGUCCCCGUCAAUU
This 627-nucleotide ribosomal RNA is filed under the name uncultured Staphylococcus sp. RNAcentral describes it as "partial 16S ribosomal RNA". Lineage: Bacteria; Bacillati; Bacillota; Bacilli; Caryophanales; Staphylococcaceae. The record is from RNAcentral.